UGGAUGUGAAUUGUCAAAAGAAAAGUCCAAGGCAGACAAGUUUCAGUCUCUCCAGAUCCUUUUCAGACCUUUUCUUCUGACAGCCCCCUAGAGAUUUCUGAGGUCUUUCUUGAACAGUUCUGGGAGCUGAGCCCUCUUCAUCAGGAGUUCUCAAUGGCCCCUAAGGUGACUUUGUUUUCCCAAAGGGUUUUCUUUUCUUUUGUUUUUUGAGACGGAGUCUCGCUCUGUCGCCCAGGCUGGAGUGCAGUGGCGCGAUCUCGGCUCACUGCAAGCUCCGCCUCCUGGGUUCACGCCAUUCUCCUGCCUCAGCCUCCCGAGUAGCUGGGACUAUAGGGUUUUCAUAGCAUCCUUACCUGUGGAAGACAAUACAUCACAUCCUGUAUUACCUUCCCCUGAUCUCACAGCUUCCGAAAACAGGAACGAUCACGGCUUUGAAGGUAGGCCACGCUGGUGUCACCAGUUUCUA
Molecule: long non-coding RNA, 466 nt
Filed under: Rhinopithecus bieti (black snub-nosed monkey)
Lineage: Eukaryota; Metazoa; Chordata; Mammalia; Primates; Cercopithecidae
Description: lncRNA (ENSRBIG00000045905.1)
Source: RNAcentral